RNAcentral lists this ribosomal RNA (424 nucleotides) under Campylobacter coli. Its description in RNAcentral is "bacterial SSU rRNA". It matches the Rfam family "Bacterial small subunit ribosomal RNA", at positions 1 to 422 of the family's 1533-position model. Lineage: Bacteria; Pseudomonadati; Campylobacterota; Epsilonproteobacteria; Campylobacterales; Campylobacteraceae. The record is from RNAcentral.
UUUUAUGGAGAGUUUGAUCCUGGCUCAGAGUGAACGCUGGCGGCGUGCCUAAUACAUGCAAGUCGAACGAUGAAGCUUCUAGCUUGCUAGAAGUGGAUUAGUGGCGCACGGGUGAGUAAGGUAUAGUUAAUCUGCCCUACACAAGAGGACAACAGUUGGAAACGACUGCUAAUACUCUAUACUCCUGCUUAACACAAGUUGAGUAGGGAAAGUUUUUCGGUGUAGGAUGAGACUAUAUAGUAUCAGCUAGUUGGUAAGGUAAUGGCUUACCAAGGCUAUGACGCUUAACUGGUCUGAGAGGAUGAUCAGUCACACUGGAACUGAGACACGGUCCAGACUCCUACGGGAGGCAGCAGUAGGGAAUAUUGCGCAAUGGGGGAAACCCUGACGCAGCAACGCCGCGUGGAGGAUGACACUUUUCGGA